GGCGAUUCGUCACACUGGCGGCCGUUACUAGGGGAUCCAAGCUCGGGACCAAGCUUGAUGCAUAGCUUGAGUAUUCUAUAGUGUCACCUAAAUAGCUUGCCGUAAUCAUGGUCAUAGCUGUUUCCUGACCGCGAGGGGAAAGCCUUUGGGUGCUGAAGGAGGGGCCCGCGUCCGAUUAGCUGGUAGGUAGGGUAAGAGCCUACCUAGGCGACGAUCGGUAGCCGGUCUGAGAGGACGGACGGCCACACUGGGACUGAGACACGGCCCAGACUCCUACGGGAGGCAGCAGUGGGGAAUUUUGGGCAAUGGGCGCAAGCCUGGCCCAGCAACGCCGCGUGGAGGACGAAGGUCUUCGGAUCGUAAACUCCUGUCCAGAAGGACGAAGCCGGUGACGGUACUUCUGGAGGAAGCCCCGGCUAACUCCGUGCCAGCAGCCGCGGUAAUACGGGGGGGGCGAGCGUUGUUCGGAAUUACUGGGCGUAAAGGGCGCGUAGGCGGUUUCGGAAGUCAUGGGUGAAAGCCCCGGGCUCAACCCGGGAACGGCCUGUGAAACCACGGGACUGGAGUGCUGGAGAGGGAAGCGGAAUUCCCAGUGUAGCGGUGAAAUGCGUAGAUAUUGGGAGGAACACCCGAGGCGAAGGCGGCUUCCUGGACAGACACUGACGCUGAGGCGCGAAAGCCAGGGGAGCAAACGGGAUUAGAUACCCCGGUAGUCCUGGCUGUAAACGAUGAACACUUGGUGUGGGGGGUGGACAAGUCCCUCCGUGCCGCAGACGACUCGUUAAGUGUUCCGCCUGGGGAGUACGGCCGCAAGGCUGAAACUCAAAGGAAUUGACGGGGCCCGCACAAGCGGUGGAGCAUGUGGUUUAAUUCGACGCAACGCGAAGAACUUACGGGGUUUGA
RNAcentral lists this ribosomal RNA (903 nucleotides) under uncultured Acidobacteriaceae bacterium. Its description in RNAcentral is "bacterial SSU rRNA". It matches the Rfam family "Bacterial small subunit ribosomal RNA", at positions 74 to 984 of the family's 1533-position model. Lineage: Bacteria; Pseudomonadati; Acidobacteriota; Terriglobia; Terriglobales; Acidobacteriaceae. The record is from RNAcentral.